GUGCUUGCUUUGGCAGCACAUAUACUAAAACUGGACUAACCAAGAAGAUUAGCAUUGCCCCUGCACAAGAUGACACACAAAUUUGUAAAAUUCAUUGAUAUUAA
Molecule: small nuclear RNA, 104 nt
Organism: Nyctereutes procyonoides (raccoon dog)
Lineage: Eukaryota; Metazoa; Chordata; Mammalia; Carnivora; Canidae
Source: RefSeq, a predicted model, not a curated record